Molecule: non-coding RNA, 24 nt
Filed under: Rattus norvegicus (Norway rat)
Lineage: Eukaryota; Metazoa; Chordata; Mammalia; Rodentia; Muridae
Source: RNAcentral
UACCUUUCGUGGGAGUGGUCCUGG